RNAcentral lists this unclassified non-coding RNA (315 nucleotides) under plant metagenome. RNAcentral describes it as "partial contains 5.8S ribosomal RNA, internal transcribed spacer 2, and large subunit ribosomal RNA". The stretch from base 1 to 105 matches the Rfam family "5.8S ribosomal RNA", at positions 50 to 154 of the family's 154-position model. The record is from RNAcentral.
AAAAUGCGAUAAGUAAUGUGAAUUGUAGAAUUCAGUGAAUCAUCGAAUCUUUGAACGCACAUUGCGCCCGCCAGUAUUCUGGCGGGCAUGCCUGUUCGAGCGUCAUUUCAACCCUCAAGCCCCCGGGUUUGGUGUUGGGGAUCGGGCUGCGGUUCUACCGCGUCCCGGCCCCGAAAUCUAGUGGCGGUCUCGCUGCAGCCUCCAUUGCGUAGUAGCUAACACCUCGCAACUGGAACGCGGCGCGGCCAAGCCGUUAAACCCCCAACUUCUGAAUGUUGACCUCGGAUCAGGUAGGAAUACCCGCUGAACUUAAGC